AUUGAACGCUGGCGGCAGGCUUAACACAUGCAAGUCGAGCGGAGAGAGGUAGCUUGCUACUGAUCUUAGCGGCGGACGGGUGAGUAAUGCUUAGGAAUCUGCCUAUUAGUGGGGGACAACAUUUCGAAAGGAAUGCUAAUACCGCAUACGUCCUACGGGAGAAAGCAGGGGAUCUUCGGACCUUGCGCUAAUAGAUGAGCCUAAGUCGGAUUAGCUAGUUGGUGGGGUAAAGGCCUACCAAGGCGACGAUCUAUAGCGGGUCUGAGAGGAUGAUCCGCCACACUGGGACUGAGACACGGCCCAGACUCCUACGGGAGGCAGCAGUGGGGAAUAUUGGACAAUGGGCGGAAGCCUGAUCCAGCCAUGCCGCGUGUGUGAAAAAGGCCUUAUGGUUGUAAAGCACUUUAAGCGAGGAGGAGGCUACUUUAGUUAAUACCUAGAGAUAGUGGACGUUACUCGCAGAAUAAGCACCGGCUAACUCUGUGCCAGCCGCCGCAGUAA
RNAcentral lists this ribosomal RNA (501 nucleotides) under uncultured bacterium. RNAcentral's name for it is "partial 16S ribosomal RNA". It matches the Rfam family "Bacterial small subunit ribosomal RNA", at positions 30 to 523 of the family's 1533-position model. The record is from RNAcentral.